This is a non-coding RNA of Saccharomyces cerevisiae S288C, 169 nucleotides long. The record is from Ensembl. Lineage: Eukaryota; Fungi; Ascomycota; Saccharomycetes; Saccharomycetales; Saccharomycetaceae.
UUCUCUUAUAUACCAUGGCGCUGCAGAUCUAUCCAAAUUCUUCCAUACUGAAAAUCAUCCAAACGAGAACGAUAGCACCGGUAGUUUUCCUUGCGGCUUAUACGAGGGCCGUGGUUCGAUUCUGCCCUGGAGCGUAAGGGCAGGAAUGUGCAUUGCAUAAGAUCAUAAU